RNAcentral lists this ribosomal RNA (253 nucleotides) under uncultured bacterium. RNAcentral's name for it is "partial 16S ribosomal RNA". It matches the Rfam family "Bacterial small subunit ribosomal RNA", at positions 524 to 776 of the family's 1533-position model. The record is from RNAcentral.
UACGGAGGGUGCAAGCGUUGUUCGGAAUCACUGGGCGUAAAGCGCGUGUAGGCGGUCCGCUAAGUCUGGUGUGAAAGCCCGGGGCUCACCCCCGGAAGGGCACUGGAAACUGGCGGACUCGAGUCCCGGAGAGGAGGGUGGAAUUCCUGGUGUAGCGGUGAAAUGCGUAGAUAUCAGGAGGAACACCAGUGGCGAAAGCGGCUUCCUGGUUCAGCAUCGACGUUCAGGCACGAAAGCGUGGGGAGCAAACAGG